CUGAAAAACCCCUGUUGUUCUUCAACUAUGAAAAUAAUCCACCU
RNAcentral lists this transfer RNA (44 nucleotides) under Caiman latirostris (Broad-snouted caiman). Its description in RNAcentral is "partial tRNA-Glu". The record is from RNAcentral. Lineage: Eukaryota; Metazoa; Chordata; Crocodylia; Alligatoridae.